Molecule: ribosomal RNA, 916 nt
Filed under: uncultured Bacillota bacterium
Lineage: Bacteria; Bacillati; Bacillota
Description: bacterial SSU rRNA
Rfam family: Bacterial small subunit ribosomal RNA
Source: RNAcentral
CAAGUCGAACGCAAAAGUUCCCUUCGGGGAGCGAGUAGAGUGGCGCACGGGUGAGUAACACGUAGGUAAUCUACCUUUGGAUUGGGAAUAACAACCGGAAACGGUUGCUAAUACCGAAUAAUGCAGCGGCACCUAAUGGUGACAGUUGUUAAAGCGGGGGAUCGCAAGACCUCGCGUCUGAAGAGGAGCCUGCGGCGGAUUAGCUAGUUGGUAAGGUAAUGGCUUACCAAGGCGAUGAUCCGUAGCCGGCCUGAGAGGGCGGUCGGCCACACUGACACUGACAUACGGGUCAGACUCUUACGGGAGGCAGCAGUCGGGAAUUUUGGGCAAUGGGCGAAAGCCUGACCCAGCAACGCCGCGUGAAGGAUGAAAUCCCUCGGGAUGUAAACUUCGCAAGAACGGGAAGAAUAAGUAGGAGCUAACAUCUCUUACGAUGACGGUACUGUUUGUAAGCUCCGGCUAACUCCGUGCCAGCAGCCGCGGUAAUACGGGGGGAGCAAGCGUUGUUCGGAUUUACUGGGCGUAAAGGGCGCGUAGGCGGCCACUGCAAGUCAGUUGUGAAAUCUCCGGGCUUAACCCGGAAAGGUCAACUGAUACUGCAGGGCUAGAGUGCAGAAGGGGCAACUGGAAUUCUCGGUGUAGCGGUGAAAUGCGUAGAUAUCGAGAGGAACACCUGCGGCGAAGGCGGGUUGCUGGGCUGACACUGACGCUGAUGUGCGAAAGCCAGGGGAGCGAACGGGAUUAGAUACCCCGGUAGUCCUGGCCUUAAACGAUGAAUGCUUGGUGUCUGGGGUUUUAUAGUCCCCGGGUGCCGUCGCUAACGCUUUAAGCAUUCCGCCUGGGGAGUACGGUCGCAAGACUGAAACUCAAAGGAAUUGACGGGGACCCGCACAACCGGUGGAGCAUGUGGUUUAAU